This 417-nucleotide unclassified non-coding RNA is filed under the name Hevea brasiliensis (rubber tree). The record is from RNAcentral. Lineage: Eukaryota; Viridiplantae; Streptophyta; Magnoliopsida; Malpighiales; Euphorbiaceae.
GGUCCUUGGAAGAGAUGGAGUUACUGUUUUGCAAAGUCGUGCCUAGUGUUAUAAUCAAACAAACUCUCCCACCCAUUAGCAUAUACUACACGUUAUUACUUCUGGGCUGAAGCUCCACACUCUCAUUUCUAGCCCUAACGCCCUUGCUAAACAGUAACUCCAUCUCUUCCAAGGACCUGCCCUUGGUCUCUGGGAAAAGAAAAUAGAAGAAAAACCACCCAAUCACUGAUACACCAGCAAACAAGUAGAAGGCUCCACCUAUAGUAAUUGCUUUGUAUAGUGAAAUAAAACUCAUAGAGAUUGUAGCAUUCAUAAGCCUAUUAACAGCUACACCAAUGCUGUACCCUUGNUCAAAGGGAAUAUCUCAGAGCUGUAAACCCAUGUCACAGGUGCAAGACCAAUAUUGUAAAAAGCCAC